UGGGGAAUUUUGGACAAUGGGCGAAAGCCUGAUCCAGCCAUGCCGCGUGAGUGAAGAAGGCCUUCGGGUUGUAAAGCUCUUUCGGACAGAAAGAAAACGUACGGGCUAAUACCCUGUAUGGAUGACGGUACUGUAAGAAGAAGCACCGGCUAACUACGUGCCAGCAGCCGCGGUAAUACGUAGGGUGCGAGCGUUAAUCGGAAUUACUGGGCGUAAAGCGUGCGCAGGCGGUUUCGUAAGACAGAUGUGAAAUCCCCGGGCUUAACCUGGGAACUGCAUUUGUGACUGCGAGGCUAGAGUGCGGCAGAGGGGGGUAGAAUUCCACGUGUAGCAGUGAAAUGCGUAGAGAUGUGGAGGAAUACCGAUGGCGAAGGCAGCCCCCUGGGUCGACACUGACGCU
RNAcentral lists this ribosomal RNA (400 nucleotides) under uncultured bacterium. Its description in RNAcentral is "bacterial SSU rRNA". It matches the Rfam family "Bacterial small subunit ribosomal RNA", at positions 355 to 747 of the family's 1533-position model. The record is from RNAcentral.